RNAcentral lists this unclassified non-coding RNA (386 nucleotides) under Petalacte coronata. Its description in RNAcentral is "partial external transcribed spacer". Lineage: Eukaryota; Viridiplantae; Streptophyta; Magnoliopsida; Asterales; Asteraceae. The record is from RNAcentral.
UGAGUGGUGUUUGGUUUGUUACGGGUGGUUGGCUCUUUGCUUGCGCAACAACUUCCACCCGGCAUACCUCUUCAGUCUUGUGUCAAUGCUUGUAUUGCAUUGAAUGCACGGUGGGUUUCUUGUGUUGCAUGCCUAAUUGAUGGUAUCAUUUAAUGAUUUGAUGUCCAUUUUCGUCUUGUGUUGCACAUGCGAUGUGAGAUGAACCUUGAUGCUGCCUUUGUGAUCCACUCUUUUGAUGCACACGCAUUGAUUUUGUGGCUCAUUGAGUGUUGCUUGGUCUCACGGAUAUGGAACCUUGUGUGGGCAUGAGAUCUUUUACUAGUUCCUUGUUUGCCCUAGUUAAGCUUUUCAAAUACGAUUUCCUAUCAUGUCUUGACGUGGUAGGC